GAUGAACGCUGGCUACAGGCUUAACACAUGCAAGUCGAGGGGAAACGACGGGGAAGCUUGCUUCCCCGGGCGUCGACCGGCGCACGGGUGAGUAACGCGUAUCCAACCUGCCUCUGACUGAGGGAUAACCCGUCGAAAGUCGGCCUAAUACCUCAUGGCAUCGUCUGCGGGCAUCCAACGACGAUUAAAGAUUUCAUCGGGCAGGGAUGGGGAUGCGUCUGAUUAGCUAGUUGGCGGGGUAACGGCCCACCAAGGCGACGAUCAGUAGGGGUUCUGAGAGGAAGGUCCCCAACAUUGGAACUGAGACACGGUCCAAACUCCUACGGGAGGCAGCAGUGAGGAAUAUUGGUCAAUGGGCGAGAGCCUGAACCAGCCAAGUAGCGUGCAGGAUGACGGCCCUAUGGGUUGUAAACUGCUUUUAUGCGGGGAUAAAGUGAGGGACGUGUCCUUCAUUGCAGGUACCGCAUGAAUAAGGACCGGCUAAUUCCGUG
Molecule: ribosomal RNA, 491 nt
Filed under: uncultured bacterium
Lineage: Bacteria
Description: partial 16S ribosomal RNA
Rfam family: Bacterial small subunit ribosomal RNA
Source: RNAcentral